This 623-nucleotide ribosomal RNA is filed under the name uncultured marine Syndiniales. RNAcentral describes it as "SSU rRNA". It matches the Rfam family "Eukaryotic small subunit ribosomal RNA", at positions 436 to 1065 of the family's 1831-position model. The record is from RNAcentral. Lineage: Eukaryota; Dinophyceae; Syndiniales.
GUAAAUUACCCAAUCCUGACACAGGGAGGUAGUGACAAGAAAUAUCAAUAUAAGACUUUUGUGUCUUGUAAUUGGGAUGAGCGGAACUUAAAUCGCUUCUCGAGUAUCAAUUGGAGGGCAAGUCUGGUGCCAGCAGCCGCGGUAAUUCCAGCUCCAAUAGCGUAUAUUAAAAUUGUUGCGGUUAAAACGCUCGUAGUUGGAUAUCUGUGAGCGGGUUUCGGUCCUUCCCGGUGAAGAUUACACGGAACUCUGCUCGCAUUCGUUCAGGGAGGGUGGAUGCACUUCACUGUGUGACCACAUGAUCUGAAUUUUUACUUUGAGGAAAUGAGAGUGUUCCAAGCAGGCAAUCGCCGUGAAUAUGAUAGCAUGGAAUAAUAGCACAGGACUCUUGGUUCAAUGCUGUUGGUUUGUUGGACUAGAGUAAUCACAAUAAGGAUGGUUGGGGGUAUUCGUAUUUAACUGUCAGAGGUGAAAUUCUUGGAUUUUUUAAAGACGAACAAUUGCGAAGGCAUCUACCCAGGAUGUUUUUGUUGAUCAAGAACGAAAGUUAGGGGAUCGAAGACGAUCAGAUACCGUCCUAGUCUUAACCUUAAACUAUGCCGGCUGGAGAUUGGAGUCGUCAG